This 492-nucleotide ribosomal RNA is filed under the name uncultured bacterium. RNAcentral describes it as "partial 16S ribosomal RNA". It matches the Rfam family "Bacterial small subunit ribosomal RNA", at positions 29 to 507 of the family's 1533-position model. The record is from RNAcentral.
AGUGAACGCUGGCGGUAGGCCUAACACAUGCAAGUCGAACGGCAGCACAGUAAGAGCUUGCUCUUACGGGUGGCGAGUGGCGGACGGGUGAGGAAUACAUCGGAAUCUACUUUUUCGUGGGGGAUAACGUAGGGAAACUUACGCUAAUACCGCAUACGACCUACGGGUGAAAGCAGGGGAUCUUCGGACCUUGCGCGAUUGAAUGAGCCGAUGUCGGAUUAGCUAGUUGGCGGGGUAAAGGCCCACCAAGGCGACGAUCCGUAGCUGGUCUGAGAGGAUGGUCAGCCACACUGGAACUGGACCACGGUCCAGACUCCUACGGGAGGCAGCAGUGGGGAAUAUUGGACAAAGGGCGCAAGCCUGAUCCAGCCAUACCGCGUGGGUGAAGAAGGCCUUCGGGUUGUAAAGCCCUUUUGUUGGGAAAGAAAAGCAGCAGGUUAAUACCCCGCUGUUCUGACGGUACCCAAAGAAUAAGCACCGGCUAACUUCGUG